Molecule: long non-coding RNA, 473 nt
Filed under: Sorghum bicolor (sorghum)
Lineage: Eukaryota; Viridiplantae; Streptophyta; Magnoliopsida; Poales; Poaceae
Description: long non-coding RNA (SBIC_LNC008104)
Source: RNAcentral
CUAGAUGUUGAUGUAGUCUGUUGGUGUUGCUGACUAGGAAUGAAGGCUUAGUGGUCAUUUUGGAGUGUUAGGGAUGAUGGCUGUUGAGACAACACUUUGAUUGUUAUACUUGCCUUGGCCAAAGCUUUCCUAAGACUCUUGCUGGUCGUUGUUGACACUUGCUAACACCACUUGAAUACUAGGUUGUCAUCCCCAGCAUGGCACUAGAGUGUACUAUGGUAUUUAUAUGCACACAAAUAAAUCCGCAAGCGCACGGAUACCGUUGUAGCUUUUACCCAGUUAAAGGUUUUAUCAUAUCCACAGGGAAACGGGAGAACUAAUCUACGCUCUAACUUAACCUAGAUAGAUAGGUAGGUGUAGAUAGGAAAGAUGGUAGAAUUGAAUAAGAACAAUAUUAAAGGUAAGAUAACAAUGGGUGGUAAUAUGGGAAUAGAGAGUAGAGCAAUCUAGUAUAUGGGCGAUGGUAGGAGAAU